RNAcentral lists this ribosomal RNA (565 nucleotides) under uncultured Glomus. RNAcentral's name for it is "SSU rRNA". It matches the Rfam family "Eukaryotic small subunit ribosomal RNA", at positions 546 to 1106 of the family's 1831-position model. Lineage: Eukaryota; Fungi; Glomeromycota; Glomeromycetes; Glomerales; Glomeraceae. The record is from RNAcentral.
AAUUGGAGGGCAAGUCUGGUGCCAGCAGCCGCGGUAAUUCCAGCUCCAAUAGCGUAUAUUAAAGUUGUUGCAGUUAAAAAGCUCGUAGUUGAAUUUCGGGAUUGACGUGAUGGUCGUGCCUUAAGGGGUAUGAACUGUCGCAGUUGAUUUCUCACCUUCUGGAGAAGCAUGAUGUCCUUAAUUGGGUGUCAUGUGGAACCAGGACCUUUACCUUGAAAAAAUUAGAGCGUUUAAAGCAGGCAUUUUGCUCGAAUACAUUAGCAUGGAAUAAUAGAAUAGGACGGCAUGGUUCUAUUUUGUUGGUUUCUAGGAUCACCGUAAUGAUUAAUAGGGAUAGUUGGGGGCAUUAGUAUUCAAUUGUCAGAGGUGAAAUUCUUGGAUUUAUUGAAGACUAACUACUGCGAAAGCAUUUGCCAAGGAUGUUUUCAUUAAUCAAGAACGAAAGUUAGGGGAUCGAAGACGAUCAGAUACCGUCGUAGUCUUAACCAUAAACUAUGCCGACUAGGAAUCAGACGAUGUUAAUUUUUUAAUGACUCGUUUGGCACCUUACGGGAAACCAAAGUGU